Molecule: long non-coding RNA, 833 nt
Organism: Solanum pennellii
Lineage: Eukaryota; Viridiplantae; Streptophyta; Magnoliopsida; Solanales; Solanaceae
Exons: 2
Source: RefSeq, a predicted model, not a curated record
UCAGAAAAUGUAAGAUAAGGGGAUUGAUAUAGGAUAAUAAUGUCUUAUCCUCGAAAUCCAAGUUGCCACCAAGAGGAUACAACUCCAUCAAAUCAAGCAGGGAGUGCACUUGCAAGUCAGGCUAGAAGGGUUGUAUUUCAUUAUGAUUGCAUCAUUCUCUUCUAGCUCUUUUUCUCGAUCUCUCUCAGUUUCUUCUAGGAUCUAUUCGUUAGUUUCUUCUUCUCAAUCAGGAUACUCUACCUUCUUCCAUCUACGUCUAGAUGUAGUUUGAGUCAUAUCUAGUGCAACCGGAAUUUCCACAGUGCCGAAAAUUGUAUACAUAUCAGCGGAUUUUAAGUAGUCCACCUCCUUUUUUAGCUUCACAAUUUCUUCUCGUAGGACUGCAACCUCUUUUGUGGCUCCUUGGCCGUGUUCGCGUUUCCAGAUUUUGAGCAAUGGAUUCAGCUGACUAUGUCAUCUAUUCUAGUUGGAUCAAUGAAGUAAUAAUCAUCGUUGUAUUAGAAGCACUGGACGAAAAAGAUCUAAUCUAUUACGCAACAACGGGAAUACCUGAUGAGUUAGAAAAAGAAAUAGUGGAGCUAGUUAAACUGGAGGCCUGAAAAUUUGAGUGUGUUUCGAUGCUUCUGUAGAUCUGGAUCCACUGGCAUGGGUACUGUUUUUCUUCUUCUCUACAGGGUCUUUUAGAUAUUUAACUUCUGUUUUCCCGAUAUAUGUGGAGGCAAUGGGAGUUGAUUCUAUAUCCUUCCUUCCAUCUAUAUAAACUUUGGCUUAUCUGCAUAACUCAGUAAUCAAUACUUGGAAAGGCAGAGAUAUUCUGCUUUCCUUUUCCCGCA